CCUACGGGAGGCAGCAGUGAGGAAUAUUGGUCAAUGGGCGUAAGCCUGAACCAGCCAAGUCGCGUGAGGGAUGAAGGUUCUAUGGAUCGUAAACCUCUUUUAUAAGGGAAUUAAGUGCGGGACGUGUCUAGUAUUGUAUGUAUCUUAUGAAUCCGGAUCGGCUAACGCCGUGCCAGCAGCCGCGGUAAUCCGGAGGGUCCGAGCGUUAUCCGGAUUUAUUGGGUUUAAAGGGUGCGUAGGCGGCCUUGUAAGUCAGCGGUGAAAGCCUGAGGCUCAACCAUAGAAUUGCAGUUGAAACUGGGAGGCUUGAGUAUGUUUGAGGCAGGCGGAAUGCGUGGGGUAGCGGUGAAAUGCGUAGAUAUCAGGCAGAACCCCGAUGGCGAAGGCAGCCUGCCGAGCCAUGACUGACGCUGAUGCACGAAAGCGUGGGGAGCAAACAGGAUUAGAUACCCUAGUAGUC
Molecule: ribosomal RNA, 460 nt
Filed under: uncultured bacterium
Lineage: Bacteria
Description: partial 16S ribosomal RNA
Rfam family: Bacterial small subunit ribosomal RNA
Source: RNAcentral